UACGUAGGGGGCAAGCGUUGUCCGGAAUUACUGGGCGUAAAGCGCGCGUAGGCGGGUUAUUAAGUCAGGUGUGAAAACCCCGGGCUCAACUUGGGGAGUGCAUCUGAAACUGAUGAUCUUGAGGGCAGGAGAGGAAAGUGGAAUUCCUAGUGUAGCGGUGAAAUGCGUAGAUAUUAGGAGGAACACCAGUGGCGAAGGCGACUUUCUGGCCUGCAACUGACGCUGAGGCGCGAAAGCGUGGGGAGCAAACAGG
This 253-nucleotide ribosomal RNA is filed under the name uncultured bacterium. Its description in RNAcentral is "partial 16S ribosomal RNA". It matches the Rfam family "Bacterial small subunit ribosomal RNA", at positions 524 to 776 of the family's 1533-position model. The record is from RNAcentral.